Talpa occidentalis (Iberian mole) is the source of this 2568-nucleotide long non-coding RNA. RefSeq lists it as uncharacterized. NCBI's taxonomy places the organism in Eukaryota, Metazoa, Chordata, Mammalia, Eulipotyphla, Talpidae. The transcript has 4 exons. The record is from RefSeq and is a predicted model, not a curated record.
AAGCACCUUGGGCAGGGCUAUAGAGGGUGUCCAAUGAUGUGAUGGCUAUGGGUUAAGUUCAGGAAGCUGCCCACUCACUGCCGGGCACGUGGGAGGUGCUGCCCUGGCAACUGCCAGGGAGACAGGGGGAGUGACCGGCACAUGCAGGGCUGGUGAUGGCCAAGGAUGGCGGGACUGGACUCUGGGAUAUCAGCGCCUGGACAACUCACCUCUCCUGCCCGUAACAGCGCCAGACACAGAGGAGACUUUUGCACCUCCCGGAGACCCCAGUGUCUAUUUUGAGCAGAAAUCCCGAGAGUUUCCCCCGGAGAUGACUUGGUCUAAUAUACAAACAGCUUCCAGGAAGAGGAAGAACCCAGAGAAGAAAGUAACAAACCCUCUUUCCCUCACUCUCCUUGCCCCCACCUGCAAACAGAAGCUGCAGAAAGCUCCUGGGGAGGAGUCGGAUCACACAGAACCGAGAAGGGUGGUGGUUAACCCGGGAACUCUAGUCAGACUGUGUGAGUUCAGAUCGCAGCUCUACCAGUGAGGCCCAUCCAGCCUGGAGGAGGCCUCCAAGGAGGAAUGCACAGAAUUCCACUCCCAGAUUUCCUGAGGCCUGAACGGACGCUGGAUGACAGCGCAUGGGGAGAGGUGCAAACCCAGAUGUGGGCGCAAGGACAGAUGGAGACGGUCUAGGCCCGCUAGAGAGCUGUUUGGGGGAAUGACACCAACACACAAAUGAGAUCCGAGGUGUUGUCAUGAAGAUUUCUCUUUCUGGAAAGCUGCAGCACUUUAAAAGGAAGGACAGAUUUUCUCAGGGACAACUUGGGGGUCAGGCAGAAGGGAUCUGGGGAUGCCAGCCCCUAUUGGCAGCCAACUCAGCUCCCAUUUAAAUGCUGUUCAGAAGCAGCACACCCUGGAAAGUUUUUCACAUGGACAGUGGAGCCCAGGAGAUACUUGUAAGGGGGAAAAAUGCAAGUUUUCUUCAUUUACCUGAACUGUGGAACCAGAAAGUCAGGUUCCAGACCUCACCCCAUUUCUGAGCCUUGCGACCUUGAGCCUCGACUUUCCCAGUCUGUAGAAGGGGGUGAAUCAAGCCAUGUAGAUCAGCACCCACAUCCACGCCUGACUCUUAGCUGUUGCUCACAGAAAGGAGGGCGAGACAGUGACCUGCUGCCACACGCGGGCGGGGGCCCCCACGGUACUCACCACUCACGGUGACCUGCGUGCCUGGUCCCGACUUCACUUCUGUGUCAGGGCUCCCUUUCUGGAACUUCACACAGUAGUAGACCCCAGUGUCUGCUGGGGUGAUGUUACUGAUGCGGAUGGAAAAGUCCUUGUUGUCUCUGAUUGUGGCAUCUGAGACACUGGUUAUUCGGGGGAAGGGGCCUUCGUCUUUUACUCCUUUGAAACUGUAGACUAAGUGCCGGCCUGGACCCGACCCCCUGAACCACCUGACUGUCCCCACAGGGAGCAGGGAGGUCAGGGAGCAGCGCAGAGUGGCCGUCUCUCAGGUGCCACCGACACGGACUUUUCAGGCUGGAUCACCUGCAGCUCCUCCUCACCGGCUGCUCCUGCAGGAAAGCAAAGCAGUUCCUUGUUCAUCCUGCAUGACCCUGCGGGCUUUCUCAAGCACUAUCACAAGGACCUGCUGACAGUGCUCACCCCCGGGGUGGGGCCCUGGGUUCAGCACAUGGGUGUAUCAUCACCUGGAACCCCCACUAUGAGCCUGUAAAGUGAGGCUGUUCCAAAUGAAGUGGCAGGUUUAGUGCCUGAGGCCUCUCUGGAAGGGUCAUGAUUCACCAAAUACUUGCAGGACACUUUGUGGUGUCAGGACAUGUUGCAUUUUCAGUUCUUUAACGUGAUGGACCAGGCGAGUCUUGGGACCAUUGGUUUGUGAGUGGCAGUGAUGGGUGUGUUGGGAGGAUGUCCUUGAACGGCAAGAAACUCUGUGCGUGAAGCAACCUCUUCCCGAGAUCACAUGCUCAUGAAAGGGGCUGUUCCCUGGCCUGGGUGCUUGAAUGACCAUGAGGUGUUGAGUUCCCUACGCACAAUGAACAAGGUAUUUAAAAAGAAUGAAAACAUAGUCUUAAGCCUGGAAUUUUUUUUCCCAAUGCCAUGAUCAUGUGUAUUAGUGUCUAUUACUUCUAUUAUUUUUCCCCAAAACUCAAUGGCUUAAAAUAAUGAAUUUUCAUUAACAGAUGAGGCAUAAACAGAGUAAUGUCCUUUUACAUAGAUAAACCUUGACAAUAUUUUGCUAAAAAAAAUAAGGCAGAAAGAAAAAGACUGAUCUAUAGUUCUAAUUAUAGGAAAAAGUUAGAAUAGGUGAAUUCGCACAGAGAAGUAGUAAGAUGGAGGCUAUCUGGGGCUUCUGGGAUAGAAUGAUAGGGAAUGUAUUGUUGGAUGUGUACAGUUUUCUCCUAGGAUGUUGAAAAGGUUGUGAACUGCAUUUUGUUAACAGAUGGAAAAAUUGUGAAUGUACUUGAUGCUGCUGAAUUAUAAACUAAAAAGUGGUUCAAUGGUAUGUUUUAUGUGUGUUUUGCCACAAUGAAAGUUAUGUGGUCAAGCAAAGUGACUCCCCUGGUU